CCUACGGGAGGCAGCAGUGGGGAAUAUUGGUCAAUGGGCGCAAGCCUGACCCAGCAACGCCGCGUGAAGGAAGAAGGCUUUCGGGUUGUAAACUUCUUUUAAGCGGGAAGCGCAGACGACGGUACCUCCUGAAUAAGCCAUGGCUAACUACGGGCCAGAAGCCGCGGUAAUACGGAGGUGGUAAGCGUUGUUCGGAUUUACUGGGUGUAAAGGGUGUGUAGUCGGGCUGACAAGUCAGAUGUGAAAUUCCCGGGCUCAACCCCGGACCUGCAGUUGAAACUGUUGGUCUUGAGUAUCGGAGAGGCAGGCGGAAUGCCUAGUGUAGCGGUGAAAGGCGUAGAGAUUGGGAGGAACACCGGUGGCGAAGGCGGCCUGCUGGACGACAACUGACGGUGAGGCGCGAAAGCGUGGGGAGCAAACAGGAUUAGAUACCCGAGUAGUC
Molecule: ribosomal RNA, 442 nt
Filed under: uncultured bacterium
Lineage: Bacteria
Description: partial 16S ribosomal RNA
Rfam family: Bacterial small subunit ribosomal RNA
Source: RNAcentral